This is a long non-coding RNA of Papaver somniferum (opium poppy), 526 nucleotides long. RefSeq lists it as uncharacterized. NCBI's taxonomy places the organism in Eukaryota, Viridiplantae, Streptophyta, Magnoliopsida, Ranunculales, Papaveraceae. The transcript has 2 exons. The record is from RefSeq and is a predicted model, not a curated record.
UCGUUCUUUUAUUUUUCUCGGCUGCUAUUCCUAUGAUCUCUCUAAUUGACAGUUGAAGAGAAUCAAAGAGAUUCACCACCAUCUCACUCAACGCCACCAUUGCAUCAUCAUUACCUUUUUUUCUUUAUUUUUUUUUCCUUCUUCUUCAUCCUAGAAUCAACUAAUUAAGCACAAACCAUCAUGCAAGAUUUUAAUCAGCACCUCCCUUAAGUUGAUUUUAUGUGAUUUUCUUUGUUUAUUUUCUUAUUCUGAGCAUUGGGUUCUGAUUAAUUGAUGGUGUCGACGAUCUAAGGUUGGAGUGAUAUGUAUGCUGCUGAUGCUAUGUAAGAAGAUCUAUGUCUCUAAUUUGGAUUAUGGUGUUGGAUGAUUGGAACAGUGCUGCAACAAAUUGGAUGAAAUGAUUGGAUGAAAGUUGUUGUCCUGAAUAUCAUUUUAUCAAGCACUUAUGUUGUAUUUACAUUUUAAAAAAACAUGUGUAUUCAUAGCUCAUCUUUAGUAAAAUUGUGAAUCAGAAUUUUUUGUGACU